RNAcentral lists this ribosomal RNA (239 nucleotides) under uncultured bacterium. RNAcentral describes it as "partial 16S ribosomal RNA". It matches the Rfam family "Bacterial small subunit ribosomal RNA", at positions 16 to 244 of the family's 1533-position model. The record is from RNAcentral.
GACAUGGCUCAGGAUGAACGCUAGCUACAGGCUUAACACAUGCAAGUCGAGGGGAAACGAUAUUGGAAGCUUGCUUCCGAUAGGCGUCGACCGGCGCACGGGUGAGUAACGCGUAUCCAACCUGCCCACCACUUGGGGAUAACCUUGCGAAAGUAAGACUAAUACCCAAUGAUAUCUCUAGAAGACAUCUGAAAGAGAUUAAAGAUUUAUCGGUGAUGGAUGGGGAUGCGUCUGAUUAG